RNAcentral lists this long non-coding RNA (1383 nucleotides) under Salmo salar (Atlantic salmon). Its description in RNAcentral is "lncRNA (ENSSSAG00000090630.1)". The record is from RNAcentral. Lineage: Eukaryota; Metazoa; Chordata; Actinopteri; Salmoniformes; Salmonidae.
UAUUGAUCUAGCUGUUAUUGAUCUAGUGGUUAUUGAUCUAGUGAUUAUUGAUCUAGUGGUUACUGAUCUAGCUGUUAUUGAUCUAGUGGUUACUGAUCUAGUGAUUAUUGAUCUAGUGGUUACUGAUCUAGUGGUUAUUGAUCUAGUGGUUACUGAUCUAGUGGUUAUUGAUCUAGUGGUUACUGAUCUAGUGGUUAUUGAUCUAGUCGUUACUGAUCUAGUGGUUAUUGAUCUAGUGGUUAUUGAUCUAGUGGUUAUUUUUCUAGUGGGUACUGAUCUACUUAGUGGUUAUUGAUCUAGUGGUUAUUGAUCUAGUGGCUACUGAUCUAGUUGUUACUGAUCUAGUGGUUAUUGAUCUAGUGGUUAUUGAUCUAGUGGUUAUUGAUCUAGUGGUUAUUGAUCUAGUGGCUACUGAUCUAGUUGUUACUGAUCUAGUGGUUAUUGAUCUAGUGGUUAUUGAUCUAGUUGUUGUUGAUCUAGUGGUUACUUAUCUAGUGGUUAUUGAUCUAGUGGUUAUUGAUCUAGUGGUUAUUGAUCAAGUGGUUAUUGAUCUAGUGGUUAUUGAUAUAGUGGUUAUUGAUCUAGUGGUUACUGAUCUAGUUACUGGUUGUUGAUCUCAUUCAUAUUGAAUUCGUGGUUACUUAUCUAGUUAGUGGUUAUUGAUAUAGUGUUUAUUGAUCUAGUGGUUACUGAUCUAGAUAGUGGUUAUUGAUCUAGUGGUUAUUGAUCUAGUGGUUAUUGAUCUAGUGGUUAUGGAUCUAGUGGUUGUUGAUCUAGUGGUUAUUGAUCUAGUGGGUGUUGAUCUAGUGGGUAUUGAUCUAGUGGUUAUUGAUCUAGUGAUUUUUGAUCUAGUGGUUAUUGAUGUAGUGAUAAUUGAUCUAGUGGUUAUUGAUCUAGUGGUUCUGAUCUAGUGGUUAUUGAUCUCGUGGUUACUGAUCUACUUUGUGAUUAUUGAUGUAGUGGUUACUGAUCUAGUGGUUAUUGAUCUAGUUGUUAUUGAUCUAGUGGUUCUGAUCUAGUGGUUAUUGAUCUAGUGGUUAGUGAUCUAGUGGUUAUGGAUGUAGUUGUUAUUGAUCUAGAGGUUAUUGAUCUAGUGGUUAUUUAUCUAGUCGUUACUGAUCUAGUGGUUAUUGAUCUAGUGGUUACUGAUCUAGUGGUUAAUUUUCUAGUGGUUACUGAUCUAGUGGUUAUUGAUCUAGUGGUUACUGAUCUAGUGGUUAUUGAUCUACUCGUUACUGAUCUAGUGGUUAUUGAUCUAGUGGUUAUUUUUCUAGUGGUUACUGAUCUACUUAGUGGUUAUUGAUGUAGUGGUUACUGAUCUAGUGGUUAUUGAUCUAGUAGUUAUUGAUCUAGUUGUUAAUGAUCUAGUGGUUAUUGAUCUAG